GGAAGAACGAGGUUCAAUCGGCAGUAACCGAUACAACAGAGUAAAAUUGAUUAUUAGUCAGACCGAAUUUGAUACCAGCUGGAUAGGACAAAGAUCAUAGUAGUCCAAAAUAUUCUAAACGAACUCUAGAAUCGAAAAUCGAAGAUCCGCCUAAAGAUCUUCGACACAAAAGGCCACCUGAUCUGAAGGAGAAGCGUUCACCUGAUCAUCGGCACC
Molecule: long non-coding RNA, 216 nt
Filed under: Elaeis guineensis (African oil palm)
Lineage: Eukaryota; Viridiplantae; Streptophyta; Magnoliopsida; Arecales; Arecaceae
Description: long non-coding RNA (EGUI_LNC007239)
Source: RNAcentral